AGUGAACGCUGGCGGUAGGCCUAACACAUGCCAGUCGAACGGCAGCACAGUAAGAGCUUGCUCUUACGGGUGGCGAGUGGCGGACGGGUGAGGAAUACAUCGGAAUCUACUUUUUCGUGGGGGAUAACGUAGGGAAACUCACGCUAAUACCGCAUACGACCUACGGGUGAAAGCAGGGGAUCUUCGGACCUUGCGCGAUUGAAUGAGCCGAUGUCGGAUUAGCUAGUUGGCGGGGUAAAGGCCCACCAAGGCGACGAUCCGUAGCUGGUCUGAGAGGAUGAUCAGCCACACUGGAACUGAGACACGGUCCAGACUCCUACGGGAGGCAGCAGUGGGGAAUAUUGGACAAUGGGCGCAAGCCUGAUCCAGCCAUACCGCGUGGGUGAAGAAGGCCUUCGGGUUGUAAAGCCCUUUUGUUGGGAAAGAAAGCAGCAGGUUAAUACCCCGCUGUUCUGACGGUACCCAAAGAAUAAGCACCGGCUAACUUCGUG
Molecule: ribosomal RNA, 491 nt
Filed under: uncultured bacterium
Lineage: Bacteria
Description: partial 16S ribosomal RNA
Rfam family: Bacterial small subunit ribosomal RNA
Source: RNAcentral